CAUGGACCACGCUUGGCAAUGCUCUCCAAGGCUAAAACAGCUUGCCUACGUAUGGACCCUGCUCUCUCGUGAGGUCAUCUUAUGCCAGACUGUAGCCUGCAGACAGUACAGGAAGUGAGCAUGUUUCUAAUAACCACUCCUGGAAGAACAGCCUUUUGUUUUGUUUUGACGGGAUUUCACAGUCCAUUCUGGUCUCAAACUUGUUAUGUAGCCGAGAGUGACCUGGAACUUUUGGCCCUCCUAUCUAACCUGUCAAGGAUCAUAGUAGACCACACUCCCAGUCUACUGAGGGCUCGUGUAUGCUAGACAAGCCUGCUACUAGUUAAGCUAUGUUCCUAAUUAUUUCUGGCAUUUUGUUUUUGUUUUUGUUUUUUGGUUGUUUUUGUUGUUGUUGUUUGGGUGGGGGUGGGGUUGGACAGAGUCUUUCUAUGUAGCCUUGGCUGUCCCGGAACUCACCAUGUAGGCAAGGCUGGCCUCGAACUCAGAGAUCUAGCUGUAGGCCUCUGCUUCCUGAGUGCUGACUCGUGGCUCUUGCUGGAGUUGAAGCCCUUGUUCCUAUUCUCUCAUAUGGUCCAGAACGGCUGAUUAGACUUGCAAGUCUAACAAUUAAGUUGCCUAUGCACGGGCUCUCACGCUACCAGCAGCACACCUGGGUACGUCAGUCUUGCUCUCAUUCGUGAGAGCCAUGAGUUCCAGCAGCCACACAUGGCAGGGAACUUAGCUCUUACACACAGGAGGUGAGGUUGGUGCAGGGAGAGAUAGAGCACUUUGUCUGAAAAGAUUGCAAGGGAGAGAAGAAGAAAGGACCCCAGAGAGAGGUUGGUCUAACCUGUGCUGCCAGUUGCUUACCAUGGGCACUCCUUCAGCUUGCCAACACUGGCUUCAAGGAACCAGUGUGGGAAGGAAUGGGGUGGCCAUUCACCAUGGCUCAUUCUGUAGAUUUGUCCCUCCUCUUUCAGAGGGUCCUCCCAUCCUCCCCAGACUGUACCCACCCCACCCCUGACCGGGGCUUCUCUGCUAGUCCAGCUGCAUAGCUUUCAACCAGGUCACUGAGGCCUAGGAUGCCUAUUCUCCAGCUGGUGUUGCACACCUUUAAUCCCAGCACUCAGGAGGCAGAGGCACAGAGGCAGAGAAAGGCAGAGGUAGAGGCAGGGCAGGUGGGCAUCUAAGAGUUCUGGAGCAGCCUGGUCUCUCUAUCAAGUGCCAGGUUGACCAGGGCUACAUGGCAAGACUCUGUCUCAAAAAACAAAACUAACUGACCUACCACACACACACACAGACACACACACACACACACAUAAUGCACUCACACACACACUAUAUAUACACAUGCACACACACACAGACACACACUAUAUACACACACACUAUAUACACACACAGACACACACACUAUACACACACACUAUGCACCCACACACCCACACACACCCUAUACAUACACACGUAUACACACACACACACACCACACACAGAGACACACACAGAUACAUAUACACAUACACACACACGCACACACACACUAUAUAUACACAUGCACACACACGCACACAUACACACUAUAUAUACACAGACACACACAUACGCAAAGACAGACAUAUACACACACAGACACACACAUGCAUAUACACGCACACACAUGCACACAGACAGACCCCCCCCACACACACAAUCUGUGCAGCUCAUUUGCUUUUGCAAUCCUAUUUUACGACCCUCAUGUCUUGCACCCCAGACUUGGCUCCAGAGGUCCUGGCAUGCUCCCUUUUUGAGCCCUAGACCUCUGUGGCUCGGGUUAGACUUGUGUUCGUGCCCUUCCUUUCUUCCUUGAGAACACGGAGGUUUCAAUGUUCUCCACUCUGAUAAAUCACCAUUCUUGCUAGCUCCCUCUGAUGUGGGGUUUUAUCUUGUAGCCCAGGCUGGCCUGGAUCUUGCUGUGGCUGAUACUGGCCUAGAACUUGCCAUCCUCCUGCCUCAGCCUCUCCCGAGUGCUGAGAUUACAGGCAUACACCACUAUGUUGGUCUUGUCCGCCAUCUGCCUUAAUCUCUUGGGACUUGUAUUUAAAACAUCACUUAUUGCCAUGUUGCUGGAGUUUGGAGAAGCAUCAGAGAUAAGUGCUGUCUGUGUUCAGGCUGUGUAUAAUAAGGGGCUUAUUCAUUUAUUCAAUAAAUUAAUCGUCUUACAACAGCGAGAUCGCUUGUGCCCUUCCAGACCAUUCGACCCACGCUGAGGGUGCAAGGGUGAGCUCUCAGCAGGAGUUAAGUGGAUGAGCCGGAGCCUCUGCGCCCCCUGGAGUCUCAUCUCGGAAGCACAGCCUCCAUCGCGCCCUUUAAGUAGCUGUCCCCGCGGUCUCACCGGGACGGAGUGGGAUGGAGCGUCUUAAUCCCAGCAUUAACAGUUUGCUCAGGAUUCUGUUAUGUUCUGGGGAGUCAGAGUGAGCUCAGCCACGCCCCAACUUCUGCCGUCCUUCUCCUGACCCACCCACACUUCUUGGUCCAUUUGCUUCGGCUAUAAAACUAUCCAGAGAAGCAUGGAGCCUUUCUGAGGUUACGCAUGCUCCUCGGAUUUCCCUGUUUUUGUCCUCGUGGGUGCCUGUCACGCUGCUCCACCAUUCUGCAGUCACACUUGUGUUUGUUCACACUUCAACCCUUUCUGCAAUCGCACGUUUGCACAUUUGUUCCUCAACAAUGUAUUUGAGCUCAAUCUCCUCUCAAAUGUGAACCUGAAACCUGGUCUGCUGGUAUGAGCCUGUGAUCCUAGCCACGCAUGAGGCCGAUGCAGGGGAAUCGCACAUUGGAGGCUACCUCAGGCACCUUAAGUUAGACCUUGUGUCCGAAUAAAGUUAAAAAAUACUGAGGAAGGUGGCUCAGUGGUCGAGAGCUUGCAUAGCUUCAAUCCCCAGUUAAACAAAUCAAGAUGUAACUCUCAGAAAAUAUUAAUCAAGGGGGCUGGAGAAAUGGCUCAGUGGUCGAGAGCCCUGACUGCUUUUCCAGGGAACCUGAUUUAGUUCCCAUCAUCCUAAAAUAAGAACAGUGUGCAAUUUCAGUUCUGCAGGAUCCCAUACCUUCUGGGCAGAUUAUAGAAAACACACACACACACACACACACACACACAGAGUUGUAGGUGAAGUCCCAGUGAGCAGCACCACACCUGCUGAGGGAAAGGAGAGAAGGGAAGUGUUGCCAUGGGAACUCAAGAACUGGGGCUGAACCCAGGAGAGUCCGUUUCUCCACCGUGACCCAGCAGCAGCAAGGAGUGAAGCCUGUGGUACCCAGUCCACCUUUCCUGCCUCUUCCUUCUCAUCUAGUGCAUCUCAGUGGAUGAGCCAGCUCUGAGUCACAGGAGACAGAGCCAGUCCACAGGGGAUCAGUGUCUGCUUGUGGUGAGGAGGAAAAAACAGCCAGCAAACACAGGAUAGGAGGUAUUGGGUGUUGAAGGGUACAGAGAGGAGUGACGACGUCUGCCUUCUGGGUUCCUAAGGUAGCCUGGCCACACCACUAUUUGCUGUUUCAGACAGUAGAGUGCUAUGUCUCUGUCAUUGCUCAACGGCAAAUGUCACCACAGAUCCUGAAGUAUCCCUGGUGAUUUCCACUUCCCAACCUCUUGUCUGUGUACAGUCCUCACCCCUGAGGUGCUGGUGAAGCCUAUAACUUUAUUCCAUAGAAUCCGCAGAAUGUGGCAGAGGUGUUUUGUAUCAGACUCAUUAGCUCAUUGAAGGAGCCUCCCCUUACUGCCUUGAUGGAGUAAGAGGCGUGCCAUGCUCUGGAACAGAAGGUGUGGGCAGAUUAUAGAAAACACACUACACACCACACACACACACACACACACACACACACGACCCAUGACUGUCCUCAGACAAUUUCCAGGAAGAAGCUAAAGGAGCUGGAGCCCCAGGCACACAGCAACAGGGAGGGAACUCGGUCCCCAGCUCUAACGAGUCAGAGCCCGUUCUUCAGUGGAGCACCCGGAUGGAAGGAAGCCACCGACUCCCCCACAGCAGCCCGGGAAGCCCGGGCACGGAAACCGUGGGCAAACGAGUGUGUGCAGGUUUAACCGCUGCACUGUGGUCAUGUUCUGCGGUGUGGCGCGCUGGUUCGGCACCCCCAGUGGUGCUGAGGGGAAGAUGAACUCCGCUGAGAUUGGGGACAAUCCCUGUACUGUAGAACACAGCCGGAGCUGGGGACGCUCUCCUGUGUGUACCUUAAAGCAGAUGUCAAGACGAUCUGACUGGUGUCUUCUCCUUGGGGUUAACUGUCCUUGGGGUUACGUGAACGAUACUCCUUGUGAAUCACCGUAGAGAAGGCAUGAUUUUAUAUAUUUUUAUUACGUUUUUAUUUGUGUGUGCCACCAAUAAACAGAAUGGCCGAGGUACACUCGUUUUCACAUCGUUAUGCCUGUCACGUAUUCUGUUCCUAUGCCAGGAACGGGAAGUGGGGCUAGGCCAUUAAAACCUCAUCACCUGUGCUCGCUUCAGCAGCACAUAUACUAAAAAAAAAUUGGAACGAUACAGAGAAGAUUAGCAUGGCCUCUGCGCAAGGAUGACACGCAAAGUCGUGAAGCGUUCCAUAUUUAAAAAAAAAAAAAAAAAAAAAAACCUCAUCACCCACCCUGGCGACUCUCUUCUUCCAGCAAGGCUCAGCCUCCUCCCCAACCUUCCCAAACAGCUGGAGACACAUGAGCCUUCAGGAGCUAUCACAUGCUAACCAUCACAGCAAUGUAGCAUGGGGGAACGGUCGGAGAAGCUUCUUCAGCAGCCGGUGCGGUUCCUUCUGGGACCAUGGGACACAGAGACGCUUCCUGCUCAGGUCCAGCUUGGCUUCUGCAUGCCCUACAGUUAAAGCACAGGUCUUCAGCAGUAGGGGUCUGCUAUCUUGUUCUGGGGGUGCAGCUCACACCAUGGCACACCUUUACGGUGUGUGGGCUCCCAGAUACCUCUCUCUAAAAACCUCUAGGGAGGUAACCCACCGGGGGCGGGGGGGAUACUGAGAUUCCCAACCAACAACAAUGGGUGGUGACAUUUUUUUUCACCCUAACUCAGUGCCAUUGUUCAAAGUCUUUUAAUUGCUGGUGCCACAGAUGCUGUUCCACAUUUUCAAGAAGCUGAAGAAGGGUUUGCCGUUAUAAACUCUCUUCAGAGAGUGGCCAGGCCCUGUCCUGUGUCUCAUCUGUGCCAGGAGAGUGCCGACUGGGUUUGGGAUCUGGGCAGCUUUGUCACUGAAAACCCUCCCACUGGGUGAUGGCUCUCACAAAGGCUUCAUCCUUCAAGCUCCCUGGGUAACUUUGAAGAGGACCAGGGGUCUCCUCUCCUUCAGCAAUUGCUUGCUAAUUAUGUGACUACCAGGAGGGUCUCUGGAAUCUUGCUUCAUGGGCAUUUCAUCAUCCCCUUUCUUUCUCUCCAGGAGGGAAUGCUUCCAUCCGGGAGAAAUGGAAUAUACUGUUCGGGGUUCCUUCCAGCUCCUGGGGACAUGUCUUAGAAGUCCCUAAAGGCUGAACUUGCACAGUUCUCAUGUGACUGAAGCCCUCAGUGACGGCCAGGGAGAGUGUACCCAGCCCUGGCCAGCUGCAUACAGACGCCCAGUCAAGGGCGGCAGCAUGGCCUCAGUGUGGGAAAGGAACCAGAUCUAUUUAAUAUAUUACAGCAGUUCCAUGUCUUAAGGUGAGAGUAGAGUAUUGUGAAUUCAGUUUGUGCAAAGGGCACGGAGGUCACGGGAUCAGAGCAGCGGCUGGCCAGCCACCCUCUGGAUCCUGUUAAGAAGGGAUUAGCAGACUGCAAGCUGGGCAAGAAAAAUCCCCUCAUCUUUUAAUACCAGUCCUCCGGCAUCCCUAGUUUGGAUGAGUUACGGCCUGCUCCUCUCCCUUUUCAGUCCGACUCACCCGGCUAUCUUUGCUUAGGUGGGUGAGAGGGGAGGUCAAGUUUCUGAAAGCCAAGCCACCCUUGUGCAGGGGACAUUAGGAAAUAGGGCGGUCUGUCCAUCUGUCCGUCUCUCGUGAGCCUGGACCAUGGGCAACGUCGUGGAGGGCAAGUCGGUGGAGGAGCUGAGUAGCACCGAAUGCCAUCAGUGGUACAAGAAAUUCAUGACGGAGUGCCCCUCUGGCCAGCUCACCCUCUACGAAUUCCGCCAAUUCUUUGGCCUCAAGAACCUGAGCCCCUCAGCCAGCCAGUAUGUGGAACAGAUGUUCGAGACCUUUGACUUCAACAAGGAUGGCUAUAUUGACUUCAUGGAGUACGUGGCCGCCCUCAGCCUGGUUCUCAAGGGCAAGGUGGAACAGAAGUUGCGUUGGUAUUUCAAGCUCUACGACGUGGACGGCAACGGGUGCAUAGACCGGGACGAGCUGCUCACCAUCAUCCGGGUAACUCCAGGCCAUCCGAACCAUUAAUCCCUGGAGCGACUCAUCCAUGAGCGCUGAAGAAUUCACAGAUACCGUGUUUGCCAAGAUCGACAUCAACGGGGAUGGGGAACUGUCUCUGGAGGAGUUCAUGGAAGGUGUCCAGAAGGACCAGAUGCUCCUGGACACGCUGACCCGAAGCCUGGACUUGACCCGCAUUGUGCGCAGACUUCAGAACGGCGAGCAGGAGGAGGCAGGCGCUGGCGAC
Molecule: RNA transcript, 6593 nt
Organism: Rattus norvegicus (Norway rat)
Lineage: Eukaryota; Metazoa; Chordata; Mammalia; Rodentia; Muridae
Gene: Guca1a
Gene name: guanylate cyclase activator 1A
Source: RefSeq, marked validated